This 1559-nucleotide ribosomal RNA is filed under the name uncultured fungus. Its description in RNAcentral is "eukaryotic LSU rRNA". The stretch from base 911 to 1559 matches the Rfam family "Eukaryotic large subunit ribosomal RNA", at positions 1 to 667 of the family's 3401-position model. The record is from RNAcentral. Lineage: Eukaryota; Fungi.
CUUGGUCAUUUAGAGGAAGUAAAAGUCGUAACAAGGUUUCCGUCGGACUUUUGGUCCUCGGGCGUCCAAUCCUUCCGCGAUACGCUUGCUGAAACCUUAGUGGCCCACCUCGAGGUGGUGAUCUGCGACUCAAAAUAAGUGAUCUUGAACUGCUGGUCUGCUUAUUGUGCAGACGACAUCACUCUACCGCAGGAACGUUCCUAGCUACGGCGACGUGACUUACCUGCAGCCGCCGCAGCCUUGCGGUGGUUCACAGACUAAGUGGUGAUGGGCGCGGGAACCCGAGGGUUUCGCGUUUCAGAUAUAGCCGAGUUCCAAGGCUGCCCUAGGAUUUGCUACUGUGGGAGGGAACGCAAUUCUCCCAGGCAUAAAAACGUUCCGUAGGUGAACCUGCGGAAGGAUCAUUACCGAGUCUAGGGGGCUGUUGGCCCCCGAACCUCCAACCCUUGACUGAAACUACCGCGUUGCUUUGGCGGGCCCGUCCUGAAAACGGGCUGCCGGAGGUGUCACUGCCUCUGGCCUGCGCCUGCCAGUAGCCACAAUCAACCCUUUUUCAACCGUGACGUCUGAGUGUAAAUACAAAAUAUAUAUAAAACUUUCAACAACGGAUCUCUUGGUUCUGGCAUCGAUGAAGAACGCAGCGAAAUGCGAUAAGUAAUGCGAAUUGCAGAGUUUUUGUGAGUCAUCGAAUCUUUGAACGCAUAUUGCGCCCUCUGGUAUUCCGGAGGGCAUGCCUGUCCGAGCGUCAUUGUCAACCCUCAAGCCCUGCUUGCUGUUGGACCCCUCGACGAAAGUUGACGGCCCCAAAGAAAACGACGGUGUUGUGGCAACCCCCCAGACGCAAUGAGCUUUAACACGCACGCGUCACGGCGGUACCGCAACCCAGUCUUCAAACAACUAUUCCAAGGUUUGACCUCGGAUCAGGUAGGAAUACCCGCUGAACUUAAGCAUAUCAAUAAGCGGAGGAAAAGAAACCAACAGGGAUUACCCUAGUAACGGCGAGUGAAGCGGUAACAGCUCAAAUUUAAAAUCUGGCUCUCGGGCCCGAGUUGUAAUUUGUAGAGGAUGUUUCGGGCAAGGUCUAGGUUUAAAUUUCUUGGAACAGAAUGUCAUAGAGGGUGAGAGUCCCGUCUUGAACCGCUGACCGCGUCCAUGUGAAACUCCUUCGACGAGUCGAGUUGUUUGGGAAUGCAGCUCAAAAUGGGUGGUAAAUUUCAUCUAAAGCUAAAUAUUGGCCAGAGACCGAUAGCGCACAAGUAGAGUGAUCGAAAGAUGAAAAGCACUUUGAAAAGAGAGUUAAACAGUAUGUGAAAUUGUUGAAAGGGAAGCGCUUGUGACCAGACUUGAGUCUGACGGUUCCCCGCGGUCAUUUGACCCGGUUAUUCCGUCUUAACCAGGCCAGCAUCGGCUUGGGUGGUUGGUUAAAGGUCUUGGGAAUGUAUCUACCUCCGGGUCGACUUAUAGCCCAGGACGUAAUGCGGCCUACCCGGACCGAGGAACGCGCUUUUGCUCGGAUGCUGGCGUAAUGGUUACAAGCGGCCCGUCUUGAAACACGGACC